Molecule: ribosomal RNA, 508 nt
Filed under: uncultured bacterium
Lineage: Bacteria
Description: bacterial SSU rRNA
Rfam family: Bacterial small subunit ribosomal RNA
Source: RNAcentral
UGGGGAAUUUUGGACAAUGGGCGCAAGCCUGAUCCAGCAAUGCCGCGUGCAGGAAGAAGGCCUUCGGGUUGUAAACUGCUUUUGUACGGAGCGAAAAAGCUCUCUCUAAUACAGGGGGCUCAUGACGGUACCGUAAGAAUAAGCACCGGCUAACUACGUGCCAGCAGCCGCGGUAAUACGUAGGGUGCAAGCGUUAAUCGGAAUUACUGGGCGUAAAGCGUGCGCAGGCGGUUUUGUAAGACAGGCGUGAAAUCCCCGGGCUCAACCUGGGAAUGGCGCUUGUGACUGCAAAGCUGGAGUGCGGCAGAGGGGGAUGGAAUUCCGCGUGUAGCAGUGAAAUGCGUAGAUAUGCGGAGGAACACCGAUGGCGAAGGCAAUCCCCUGGGCCUGCACUGACGCUCAUGCACGAAAGCGUGGGGAGCAAACAGGAUUAGAUACCCUGGUAGUCCACGCCCUAAACGAUGUCAACUGGUUGUUGGGUAUUUACUUACUCAGUAACGAAGCUAAC